This is a long non-coding RNA of Pyrgilauda ruficollis (rufous-necked snowfinch), 1664 nucleotides long. RefSeq lists it as uncharacterized. The record is from RefSeq and is a predicted model, not a curated record. The transcript is spliced from 2 exons. NCBI's taxonomy places the organism in Eukaryota, Metazoa, Chordata, Aves, Passeriformes, Passeridae.
GAGCACCAGUGCCCUGUGCCCGCUCUGCCAUGCCAGCCCUAGAGCCAGGGAAUCAGUGGGAGACCUUUACAAAGUUGGACUUUGCUGAAGAUGCUGCGUGGCCAAUCCUGCCUUGGAGGCUCCUCUGGUCCAUGGGAGUCUCCAGGUCUGCUCCAGUCUGGUCCAUGGCUGCUCCACAGAAUGGUCCCGUGCCUUGACAUUGAUUUAUCAUCCACCAUGACCACAAGCUCAGGGAUGAGGAAGGAAUACCCAUGGCUGCUACCAUCCCUGCCCCUCUGGCUUCAGAUAAAUCACCAAGCUUGGAGCAUGACUGCCCCAGAAAGAAGGAGAAGCAACUGCAUUGCUCUGCUCAACACAUGGCAGCUUGCUCCUCUCCUCUCCACAGAACAUUGAUCUUCAAGGUCAUACACAAUUAAAGGAGUGGGAGACAUUCCCUGGAAUUAGCUGUUCCCUCUUUCAUUUUCCUGCUUAAGGUAAGAGCUGCACAAACUCCUUCUAUAAGAGUCACCUAAUAGAGAAUACAAUGACUGGUCUGUCAUCAAAGUAUUUAGGGAUGGUGACGAUACCUAGAUUGGUUUCCAGUGUGUUUUUUGUUUUUAUUUUACUGUGAUGUUUCUACAAAAUCCAUAAAUCAUAGGGAUGUGAUAAGAAACAGGUCGCAGUUGCUGGUUAUUCUUGUCCAGAUGCACAGAAAUGCCCUGAUUGUUUUUUUCCAAUGACAACCAGCUCAGGGCUAAACAUUUUUCAGUUGCACAGCCAGCUUUCAAGGUUACACAUAGAUACUGAAUGAAACAGAGCCCACUGGUUAUUUUUAGAGAGGCUCUAAACAAGAAGCAAAUCCCUGCAGCAGUGCUGCCAGAGAUGCAUAAAGUUCAAAUCCAAAUUAAAACUGCCUAUCUUUGGCCUACAUUCCAGCUUGAACUUGAGGAAAACUGUGACUUGAACUUUAUGACAAAAACUCUUUUGCAAUUAGUUUUAAUACCUGAGAAUACAUGAACUUGGCACAAACACUUAAAUAGAACUUGAAUGAAAAAUGUGAACACUUGUCCCAAAAUGUAGUACCUGUUCUUGUGAGUUUUGUAUGGUUUCAGUAGCUACACUGGAAUUUGGAGUGUCUAAUUUUUUGUGAUUCUUAGUUUCAACACAUCUUUGUAAGAUCAAGCCCUACAAUGUAAUUGUAAAUUUUGGGGGCAGGAGGAGAAACAUGUUUAUUUAUUGAUCCUUCUAAUAAUGAUCUGUGAUGCUCAGGUCCAGGUUUAGCAGUGACCACAACAGAGUAUGAAGAAAGGAGACCCUUUGACAGCAGCAUAUUUAUGCAAAGUAGUGCAACUGAAGCAUGUUCUUGAUUUCUUUGCUGAAUCAGAGCCUGUAUCUUCUUCCUGCCAAGGCAGCGAUCUAAUACCACUCCUAAAUGCACUAGUAAUUCUAGAAGCCCUAACGAAAGUCAAGAUAACACCACAGAUUUUAUAAAUAAGGGUCUUUAUUUAGAAUACUGUUGAAAACAUUCUUGGCAACCAAAUCGUAUAAAUAUAUAAAGUUAAAGUUUGACACAACAAACCAAGCAAUAUUAAAUAUUUUUAAAUUUUUCCCCUUUUUAAAUUUUUGGUUUUUUCUUUUUUUAAUUUUUUUUCUUUUUUUUUUUUUUUUUUUCUUUUUUUUUUUUU